Ribosomal RNA from Erinaceus europaeus (western European hedgehog), 118 nucleotides. NCBI's taxonomy places the organism in Eukaryota, Metazoa, Chordata, Mammalia, Eulipotyphla, Erinaceidae. The record is from Ensembl.
GUUGAUGGCCAUACUACCCUGAACACACCCAAUCUCGUCUGAUCUCGGAAGCUAAGCAGGGCCAGGCCUGAUUAGUAGUUGGAUGGGAGAGAGAAAGAGAAAGACCAGCUGUUCAGCU